UUUAAUAAGAGGAUGGUGAAAGAACAAAGCAAUUGAGCUUGUAACUACAUUCACCAUCUUUAGUUUCCAGCCAAGUCUAGUUAUCUCUGCAAUUUUGGAUUCUAGUGGCACUCGAAAGCAAAAAGAAGAAAGAAGGAAAGAAAGAAAAAUCAUAUCGAUACUCAGAUUAAGCAAACACGAAAAUUAAAUCAGGCAGAUGAAAGUAAAGUUUUUUUUCUUUGAAGCCACUGUAUAAGCGAUACAGUUUUCUUUAUUUGAGUACAUUGCAUGUAAAGUUAAUUUGUAACUUAAACUUUACCUGAAAAACUGCAAACUGCUUAAAAAUGAAACUCAAAUCAGCAAGCUACAUACUAGAAUUCGGUGCAAUUGAUCAUUGAGGUGCUAGACUGCAACACAGACAAAACCCAAAUCAGCUCAAAUCAAGGAAACAGAAAACCCGGUCAAAAAUAACAAUGUGCAUCACAUUCUUCAUCAGAUAAAACAUGCUGUUAUGUUUGAAAAGAUAGUGACUGCCGAAGAUCAAAGCAAUAGAGCUAGUACUUACAUUCACCAUCUUUAGUUUCUGCCACGUCUAGUUAUCUCUCCAAUUUAGUAUUCGGGUGGCACUCGAUAGCAAAAAGAAGAAAGAAAGAAAGAAACGAAAAUCAGAUUGAAACUCAGAAAGAAAGAAAUACAGUUUUCUUUAUUUGAGUAUAUAACAUGGAAACUGUAACUUUACCUGAUAAACUGCUAAAAAAUGAAAAUCAAAUCAGCAAGCUAUAUGCUGGAAUUCGGUGCAAUCAAUGCAAUCGAUCAUCGAGGUCCUAUACUGCAGAACAGACAAACACCGAAUCAGCUCAAAUCAGGUAACGGGAACGGUUAUCCUUCUUGAAAUGAUAAGCUCAAUCUCAAACAGUAUAAAAAUCACACAAAAACGGAAUGAAAAAAUUUUGAAAAUUCAAAAGCACUCAACUUAUCUAUUUGAUCUGAACAGAGGAUUGGGAACUUCCCAAAUCUAUAGUCCCACGAAUCCAUCUUGGGGAAAACUUAUAUUGCACUCUUUGCAUUCAAACACCAAAUUUCAUGCUAACGCAAAAAAAAAAUUCAAAUGAAAACAUGAUAAAAAUUCAAAUGCAAACGCAAAAGCCAAUAAAGUCAAGCAUAACAACAUCAAGAAUAUACCUGAGAAACUAACAAAUUGGAUCCCGCCCAAAAUCAACCAAACUCAACCAGGCACAUGUUAACAAAUCUCCAUAGAUAUUCACUCAAAGAUAUCUCAUCUGCUCUGCACCGAAAAUAGAAAAAACAAAAAAAA
RNAcentral lists this long non-coding RNA (1294 nucleotides) under Fragaria vesca (wild strawberry). RNAcentral describes it as "long non-coding RNA (FVES_LNC004464)". The record is from RNAcentral. Lineage: Eukaryota; Viridiplantae; Streptophyta; Magnoliopsida; Rosales; Rosaceae.